Molecule: long non-coding RNA, 601 nt
Organism: Trichoplusia ni (cabbage looper)
Lineage: Eukaryota; Metazoa; Arthropoda; Insecta; Lepidoptera; Noctuidae
Exons: 3
Source: RefSeq, a predicted model, not a curated record
GAAAUAAUUGGAGGAAAGUGUAUGGAGCGAGUUGGAUGCGUAUAUACUGAGAGGCGAGGCGUGUUGUUUAUCAUUACGGGUGUAUAUAAACGUGGGAGCGAACCGGCGUGCUCAUACAUUACCGGAAUAUAGCUCGCUAGUAAUACGCAGGCGAAUUGUUCAAGUUAAUUAAAAAUGCUUAAAAUUGUUGUGUUUUCGUUCCUGGCUCUCCUGCUAGUGUCUGUGACGUCUACGCCCCUGGUACCACGGGAUACCUUUGAAGUUAUUAAUUUGGAGGAGCCAUGCGUGCGACAAGGUGGUAUCUGCGUUCGCAUCGAAGAUUGUGAGCCAGAGAACUUAGUAACGAUGCAAGUGGACCUCUGCCCGGUGCAGAGGCACAAAGGAGUCUCAUGCUGCUACCUUUGAGCCAAUGCCGUGGAAGCAGAACUUCACUAUAAUAUAAGUUAAAUACUUUAGAUGCUAAUGAUAACACUUAAUUAGUUAUGUAAGAUUCACUUAUUUAUUAAAUUAGAUUCAACUAAAUUUUUUUUAAGAUAUAAUAUAGGUAUUAUUUCGAAAUAUUGUUUUGACUAAAUACUUAAAUAAAUGUAAGUUAAAUAGU